GUCUAUUUGUGGAUUGCCCCUCACUCAUAGAACAUCCCACUUGGGUUGUCAUGAUCUUUAACUCUUGAUUGUGAGAUCAAUAAGUACUAUUGGAGCACCUUGCUCUGAUACCAUUUGUUGCCCAAGGUGACAAGCCAAGGAGGGGGGGGGGGGUGAAUUGGUUUCUCUUAGUUUUAACUAUCUUACUUAUGUCAAUUGAUGAGUUAGUAUAAUUAAACAAAGCACAAUACAAACAACAAGAAGUAUAGUGGUUCGGUGCUCUCCUAAGCACCUACGUCCACUCCCCAAGCGACCCCUUGGGAAUUCACUAUAAUCCCGCGGAUUACAGUUGGAUUGUUUUCCGGACUCACAAUCCAAAAACCUUUACACUUUGGUUUUCCGGGUUCACCAAAAACCUAUGUUGGUUUUACGGGCUCACCAACGAACCUAUGUUGGUUUUUCGGGCUCACCAACGAACCUUUACAAUUGGUUUUACGGGUUCACCAAACAACCUACACCGUUGGUUUUGCGGGCUUACCAACUAACCUUUACAAGGAGUUUAAUAAACGAAGUAAGAAGAUUUAAGCUCCUAGAUGAGCAAAAUAUAACAAUAUAAUCUACAAAGAAGAGUUUGGAGAAUAGUUAUCGCUUGAUGUGACUUCUCUCUUCUUUGUCAAGGAUGCUUCACUCUUCAAGGAUGG
RNAcentral lists this long non-coding RNA (680 nucleotides) under Phoenix dactylifera (date palm). RNAcentral describes it as "long non-coding RNA (PDAC_LNC019539)". Lineage: Eukaryota; Viridiplantae; Streptophyta; Magnoliopsida; Arecales; Arecaceae. The record is from RNAcentral.